ACCAAAUUGGCUCAGUUGGUUAGAAUGUGAUGCUGAUAAUGCCAAGGUUGCAGGUUUGAUCCCCAUUUGGGC
Molecule: non-coding RNA, 72 nt
Organism: Podarcis lilfordi (Lilford's wall lizard)
Lineage: Eukaryota; Metazoa; Chordata; Lepidosauria; Squamata; Lacertidae
Source: the annotation of a GenBank genome assembly